UCUUCAUCCAGUUGGACAACUGAUGAGGUCACCAACCAGGAUCUUCAGGGUAUGAGAUGAUAAAUUCAGCUACUGUGCUGCUGGAGCCGACUUAAUAACCGGAUUCCCCUUUAAAACAGGAACCUUAUGGUAAGUAAUUUAGUACAGUCUUUCUCAACCUUUUUUGUACCAGGGAUUAGCAAAAUGUGUUCCUCUUCCUUGGUAGACUGCUUGGAUAGAAACUAGCUUACUACUACUAGCUAACUAAGUUAAUGUCUGCUAACCAUCUGAGGGACUGGCCAGUAAUAGCAAGAAUUUGAAAAACACUUAUCUAGUACACAUUUUUCAUAAACUGUACAAUAAACUUGCUAGCUUAUAUUGUUUACCAGUUUCUGACUGCUUUCAACUGAUGUGGUUCUUUCACAUUAAAAUCGGGAUACAGCUGAACGUCUCAGGAGAUCCAUGCAUUAAAACUCUGAGCAGAUGAGUGUUCAAGAGCAGCUUCUCGCCUAUAAAAACAAGCAUGUCUGUGCAAAUUUAGUUCAGAGUUUGCUGCACUUGGAUUUAACGGAACUUUGAAGCAAUGCAGAGAAAAGUUUUUAAAAAUCUGAAACAGGAAUAAAGAAACCUCAAGGGUGACAACAAGAUGAGUGGUUCCAUCUAUCUUGAAGAAAGCUGUUUUGUCGUCAUCGAUAGAGUCCUCACUCACCUAUCAAAAACUCAGGCUUAUUCCUUUCCAGGAGCAGAAGACUGUUCCCGGUUUAAAGCUGUCCUUACUGUGUCUCCUUGCUCCACCAUUACGCCUGAUGUCAGCAUUCAGGUGGCAAGUGGCUUGGCAGCAUAUUGUAAAGCAUUAUGGGAAACUGGAGGAGUUUGUGACUUUGGUGACAGAGGUGGUUCCAGAGCUGCUGAGUUCUAGGCAGAGGACCCAACUCCUCCUGGGUCUGAGAGCAAGGGUUUGUGAGGUGGAAAUGCAAAGGAUUCUGAUAAACUGGUUCUGGAGUUGUGAGUCAGGGAGAGCACCGGUGACCUUGUCCAUCCAGCCUCACCUAGACAAAAUCCAUUUGUUAACAGAAUACGCUAUACACAAGAAGAGUAAUGAUGAUGAGUUGGAGGCUACAGUCUAACUUUGUGGAGUUGGUCCAAACUCUGCUGGGAGACCCUUCUGAGAGGGAGCACUUCUUCAGGAGGUAUUCCCAGUACAUUACGGCCCUCGGCAUGACACAGCACUGCAGGUACUGGUGUGGGAGUUCCUCUCCAGAUUGGAGGAGCUGCUACCUGUACCAGACUUCAGACAGGUUAUUUGUCUUACUACACUGCAGAUACCAUCCUGUCCCUCCCUCCAACAAUAAGAGUUGUCAUUAGCUCGGAGCAGGCCAGCUCUGACAAAAUGAGGUCAUGCUCAGAUGGAGAUAAAUGCUUCAAGAAUGGGACAGAUAGAGCAGGAGAAGAGAGAGAAGGACAAUCUAAUGGGGUCAGAGAGGAGGAAAAAGAUAGGCAGACUGAAGAGGACUUCUGGUCCGUGUAUCCCAGUACCCAGCAACGGCAAGGAAAUUCAAGUUUGAAUAGUGACAUGGCAUCCCAGGUCCUUGCCUGCUCUCUGCACAUUCUCUCAUAUUAUGUUAAAACUCCACCAGCACAUCAGGAUUAAGCAUGGCGGUGAGGACAGGAAGCUUCUACGCUUUAAAGAAUCUGGGACUGAAAGCACCUUUCCUCAAGCAGCACAAAACUCCCCCAGCGUAUCAGCACUAGGCACCAAAGGAAGAACUGGAAGCGCCUCAACUCUAAAGAAUCUGGGAAUGAUAAUUCCCGUCCCACACGCAGCACAAAACUACUUCACCAGCACAUCAGGACUAGGCACCAAGGGGAUGAAUGGAAGUGUCAACACUCUGAAGAAUCUGGGACAGAAAACUCCCUGGAAAAACGUAAGAAUUCACACAUUUCCAUUCUGUUGUAGCCAGUGUGAGAGAAGAUUCUCGACCAGAUUAGAUCUCAAAAGACAUCAACGAGCUCACACAGGGGAAAGACCAUUCAAAUGCUCUCACUGUGAUGUGUGCAUAUUCACUCAAAAUGCAUGUACACACACACACUGUGGAGAGUCCCUACUCUUGCACCAUUUGUGGGAAGACAUCUGUUCAACAUCUAGCUAGACACAUGCGGCUGCAUAAAAACUAUUUAUGUAGCAUCUGUGGUAAGGCAUUCCUUAGCUCAGGAGAACUAAUGCUGCAUACAUGAUCACACACAGGAGAAUGUCCCUACACCUGUGAAUGUUGUGGAAAGAGUUUCAAAGCAGCAUGCCAUGUUCAGAUUCAUGUACAAAGAUUUCAAGUAGGGGAGUGUCCAUACCCCUGCACCCUGUGCACAACACAUUGUCAUUCUCAUGGAACAUACAAGACAUGUUAAUUCACACGGGUGAGAAACAUCACCAGUGGUCCAAGUGUGGGAAGAGAUUUCUUUAAAGGAAACUCUGAAAACGCAUCUUAAUAUUAAAAGGCAUGGAUUUUAAGAUAUUCCAGAAAGAUCAUAUUAGUUAUGCAUAAAGUCUGGUAGAUGGUGUUACUUCCUACCGUAACCUUAUUUCCCGUACAA
This is a long non-coding RNA of Oncorhynchus kisutch (coho salmon), 2568 nucleotides long. RefSeq lists it as uncharacterized. The record is from RefSeq and is a predicted model, not a curated record. The transcript is spliced from 7 exons. NCBI's taxonomy places the organism in Eukaryota, Metazoa, Chordata, Actinopteri, Salmoniformes, Salmonidae.